ACUGAGCAUUAUUAUUUUCGUUCUCUGUUACGAAUAACGUUCUGGAUUUUAGAAAUUUAUGCUACGGCAGCUUCAGUUAUAUUUGGUUAAUUGGCUAUUGCAUCUACUGAAAUUAAAGCCACGCAUUUAAGACUGUAUUGUUGACUGGGAGUCACGCAAUCACUGUACUGGCUUACCGACUGAGAGUCACGCAAUCACUGGACUGGCUUACCGACUGGGAGUCACGCAAUCACUGGACUGGCUUACCGACUGGGAGUCACGCAAUCACUGGACUGGCUUACCGACUGGGAGUCACGCAAUCACUGGACUGGCUUACCGACUGGGAGUCACGCAAUCACUGGACUGGCUUACCGACUGGGAGUCACGCAAUCACUGGACUGGCUUACCGACUGGGAGUCACGCAAUCACUGGACUGGCUUACCGACUGGGAGUCACGCAAUCACUGGACUGGCUUACCGACUGGGAGUCACGCAAUCACAGGACUGGCUUGAUAGCAGUUCCAAUCAGUAUCAGUGGGUGCCUCCAUCACUGCUUUAUUAGAAUUUCGCCAACAAUUAUAACAGUAGCUAUGACAAUAGUUUACAAUCCUCCCAAGACAGUCCCCUUUUUCUAUAUCAAUAAUGGGUUAUUUCUUGUUCUCUCGAAAUUAAAUAUUUUGAAAUACUUUAAAACUUAAAAAUCAUUGAUAAUCAUUGUUGGAAAUGAGUGAUUUAUGCAACACAAUUUUUUAUCAUGUUAUAUUCGAAGUCUCCCUUGCUGUUUUGUGUUAAAAUUUAGGUCGAAAUUCUUUAAUUUUCUAGCUUUGAAGUUAGUCGCUCUUUUUAAGGUUUAUCUUGAAUGCAGUUUUUGUUACAACUUAUUUUUCAAAAUAUUUUUUAUUAAAUUUAUUUUAAUUUUUAAUUUGAGUACAGAUUAUUGCAUGAUAAAAUGAUUAACAUAAAUAAUUUUAGUAAGAGUAAUUAGAAAACCAAUGCUUUGAUCCCCUAGCUUCUAUUUAAAUUUUUAUACGAUUAGAAAUAUAGAGGCUGAGAUUUUUAAUUCUGGUAUUACACGUUACUCGUAUUUUGUUUAUCGCUAAUAGGAAACUCUACGCAACAACGUUAGAAUGUUAUACUUGUGAACUUUUAAUGUAUUCAACAAAUCUUCGAGUAUUUUAAAGUUCUAAGUCCCUCAAAAUUUUAUUUAAAGAAAAUUCCAACAUCUUCAAAUUGAACUGAUAAAUAACAAAUUUACUGUAUGUUUCAAAACUGCGAUAGAUUUUAUGAGAAAUGACUUUUCAAAGC
Parasteatoda tepidariorum (common house spider) is the source of this 1283-nucleotide long non-coding RNA. The record is from RefSeq and is a predicted model, not a curated record. Lineage: Eukaryota; Metazoa; Arthropoda; Arachnida; Araneae; Theridiidae.